AAAGAGCCACAGUGCUGGACACUAGGGGAGGAGUGAUGUCCCAGUGUGAGAUGGGAAUGAAGCAUGGAAGUAGGAAAACAGAAUGGGCCACUCUAAACAGUGUCGACGCCAGGGCGCUUUCCACACCGGCAAAGAGCUGGGGAAGGGAGGUGGCAAUGGGAAGGGCCCCAGACUACACGCCUGGGAGGGGUGGACACCAAGGCUGGCCUGCUCUUCCUGAUCACUGCGCUGCAGCCUCCAGUGUCUUUCCUGAGGCGAAGAGAGUGGAGUGAGACAUUUGGGGUCUGUUCUUGGGACCGUGGGUGAGUUUGCUUCAAAAGUGCAUUAGCUGUUCCCGCAUAGGAGGGUUCUGAAGAAGGCCUCAUGGUGUCUCCCUGCCUGGAGCGCCAGAACUCAGCCCGGUUCCCAGCUAAGAAGUAGGAGCUCCAUGCACCUCCUUUCCUGCCUGGGCCUCUGUGGGGGAUUCUUCUGAGCCCCCUCGUCGCUGGCCUGGAUUUGCCUUGGAUUCUCCGGGGGCGGGUCUGCCUCCUCCCUGCCUGUGUCUUUUUCCUCGGACACCUCAGCCUCAAGGAAGGGCUGUGCCUCACCAGUCUCCUGCCAUUACCCCGUUCCUCUCUGCUCUCAUAUUCCACACAAGCCAAUCCCACAUCUGGGAUGCCAGGCGGGGAUGUGAGUAGAUGGCAGGUACAGCGGGCAGCGGGCCAGCACAUCUGGGUUCCAACAUGAAAACAACUCCCUUUUAACAUAAACUUUUUUUAAAGGCCCCAAACACAUCUGCAGUCCAGUUAAGGGUUGCUGGCCACAAGUAUGCAGCUUGCCUUACCCCUUCCCUCGAGGGUGGGGCUUAGGGGAAGGCACCUCUGAGCUGUCUUUGGGUUGAAAUUGAAAUUAAAGGAGGGAGGAAAUGGGGGAAUAAAAAGUGCAAAGGCCCUGGGGCCACCUGAGCGCCCCUUGGAGAAUUGUGGCCAGGCCCUAGCCAAGGAGCCCUGAGCCCAGGUGAGGUCUCAGACUUCAGGGUGGCAAGGAGACCUGGGGGCUACCCCUGCAGACCACACAUGCCUGGAAAAGCUUUUGGAGUUUAUUUCUGGGGCAAAGUGAAGCCAGUGAAGGGCCCGGGUAGAGGAACAAACCCCUGACUGUGUUUUAAAGGCUCACAGCCAAAGACCACAGGGACAGACCAGCCUGGUGGUCCAGGCAGGGCCGAGGUGGCUUGGGCUGGAACAGCUGCGUGGGGGAAAGGAUGGCACAGAGGGUACUUGGAGGUGGGGGAUGAGGAGAACCAAGGGACAGAGGAUGACUCCGUGUUCGGGCCUGAAACAUUGGGUAGACUGACAGUGAGGCCAUUUGCUUGGCAAAACAAGGGGGCAGUGGGGUACGGACAGGAGGGCGUUGGCUGCUUUCAGCUGAGUGUCUUGUCAUGUCCCAUGCAGGUGCAGGAAGCACAGGGGAGGGGCCAGGGCCAAGCAAGGGCUGGUGAGUGAGCCUCAGCUGCAGGGCUGGACAGAGUCAUCUGGGGGAGAGGUGGGGCAGGAGGAUGCCUGGAAGCCAAGAGGAGACACUGUUCCAGAGGUGAAUGCUCCAUCACCACUGAGGCCAGCAGAGAAGUGAGCAUGGGGGUCCUGGCCUGCUGGCUUGGACUUCCUAACUGUGGGGUACUGCCCACAGGGCCAGAGGGAAACACUUAGGGGCCCUAACCACACACAAGACCUUACAAUUCUCUCCCACAUGUAACUCAAAUAUGUAUAUCUGUAUUUUGCAACAAGACAAAUUUUAAACUAUGGUUUAAAAAAAAUCCCCCUGAAUUUGCUGAUUGCAAACUUCUUGGCAAAUCUGUCCAGGCUGAACUUUUCUCCAUCUUCCUCUGCUGCUGCUGUUUUGCCUGCUUUUCAAGUGCUUAGGACACUUACUUGGCCAUUAGUCAGAUUAGACUGGCUGCUUCUAAAUUAGUCCCUUGGCCAGGAUCACCUCUCUCUAUAAUAGAGAAAUUGUUUCAGGUGCCUUCGAUGGCAUCCUCAGCCCAGAGCAUUAAGUCCUGGUGGCAUCACAGGCCUUGGCCACCCACCUAGGUCACAGCUCCCUUGACUGAUCCUUCUCCACCCCCUAGGCACCUGGACUCAGGCCCCCAGAGGGCCACUCACCAUCACCUGGCUAUAGUGACCUGAGCAGUGCAUCCUGCAGCAGCCCAGCCCUCAGGUGUUCAUCCUCCAGCAGCGCAGCCCUGCCCACCCUCGGGAGGAGGAGGGGCCCGGCGCUGACACCUGCGGCCUUCUCAGUGCCACAGCCGGGCUCUGCAUCCCUGCAAUGCUCCACAGCUGCAAGGCUGCUCACUCACUUUGCACAGUGGCUCCCAAACCCCAUUUGCAAUUUUCCCUCCGAGACCCUCACAGCAGCUGGGGCCUCCUCUUCAGGCCAUGUGUCCCUUCUUCAAGAGUCAAAAUGAGAACAAGUCCGUCUCUUCCUUUUCUUCCUCCAAGCUUGGGGAGGCAGCAGCUUCCUCUCUGGCCCCCAGUUAAGGACCUUCUACCUACGGAUUCCCUACAUCAAGUCCCUCAUGGGAAUUAUCUGUUCUGGUAGCUUCCGUGGCUUCUUUCUCUUCCCAGACCCUGACAGAUGACCACGCGUGGCUUGCUGAAGCCAUAGCUGUAUGAGGACACUGGCAGAAACGGCUGCUGUUCUUCUUGCUUCCCAAAGGGCAGAGAUACCUCGAGUCACAGAAGGAUGAGGAAGCGUCUUCUCACACCCCUGACUUCAUCUGCUGGGAGCUGGUGGCUGAGGGCGGCUGGUUUGCUCUAAC
Molecule: long non-coding RNA, 2794 nt
Filed under: Homo sapiens (human)
Lineage: Eukaryota; Metazoa; Chordata; Mammalia; Primates; Hominidae
Description: HSALNT0117239
Source: RNAcentral